Molecule: long non-coding RNA, 822 nt
Organism: Nannospalax galili (Upper Galilee mountains blind mole rat)
Lineage: Eukaryota; Metazoa; Chordata; Mammalia; Rodentia; Spalacidae
Exons: 2
Source: RefSeq, a predicted model, not a curated record
AUAGAAUAAAAUGGUUACAUAAUACAUUCUAGAACUAAAAAGACUUUUGGUAAUAUUUUACAUUUUAAGAAAGUAAAGAGUUAGUAAUGAAGGGCUUAUAUUACAUUAACAUUUUGUAUGUUAAAUGUUUUCUAAAAUGAAGAUAGUUCUAAAUGCUAUCUGCCUGGGCCUGGCCUUUGAAUUUACAGCUUUUGAGAUUUUUCCUGAGCAGGAAUAGAAAUACUGUGAGGCUAACAGAGAGGAGGAACUUCAGCUGAACCAUGUUGAGAAGAGAGACAUGCUCCACUCUGACUUACAGGGUCCCACUUUUCUCAUGAGGGACAUGAAACUACUGGAAAUACAGUACCCUGUACUACUGGACUAUAUUUUUUUCUAAACCACAUACCUCUGAUGAAGUUUAAUUGAUGUUAGGCUCAAUAAGAGACUAGCAAUAACUACUAAUAAAAUAGAACCAUCAAAACAAUGAAUGUAAUAAAAGUCAUAUGAAUGUGGCCUCUCAAAAUAUCUUCCUGUACUGGGCUUACCUUCCUUCCUGCUUGUUGUGAUGAACAGGUAUGACGGGGGCCUACUGCAUAGAUGAGCUGAGCUGAAGUGAAUCAAGUAAACAUUAUGGCAUAGCAUAAGCUAUCCUUGACUUUCUUACUUAAACACAAACAUCAUAGCAUUGUGAGAGGAAUAUUGAGUGCCUGACAGACAGGUAGUGAAAACAUCAUGGAAAACAUUGUGGAUAUGCUGAAUAUAAGGAUGAUUAUUUGUGCUCCUGGAAGGACUGAUUUCAUUACACUACUCAGAAUCCUGCAUAAUUAAAUUUUAUAAAUGGGU